GACGAACGCUGGCGGCGUGCUUAACACAUGCAAGUCGAACGGAAAGGCCCUGCUUUUGUGGGGUGCUCGAGUGGCGAACGGGUGAGUAACACGUGAGUAACCUGCCCUUGACUUUGGGAUAACUUCAGGAAACUGGGGCUAAUACCGGAUAGGAGCUCCUGCUGCAUGGUGGGGGUUGGAAAGUUUCGGCGGUUGGGGAUGGACUCGCGGCUUGUCAGCUUGUUGGUGGGGUAGUGGCUUACCAAGGCUUUGAGGGGUAGCCGGCCUGGGAGGGUGACCGGCCACAUUGGGACUGGGAUACGGCCCAGACCCCUACGGGAGGCAGCAGUGGGGAAUAUUGCACAAUGGGCGGAAGCCGGAUGCAGCAACGCGGCGUGCGGGAUGACGGCCUUCGGUUUGUAAACCGCUUUCGCCGGUGACGAAGCGUUAGUGACGGUAAUGGGUAAAGAAGCACCGGCUAACUACGUG
Molecule: ribosomal RNA, 468 nt
Filed under: uncultured bacterium
Lineage: Bacteria
Description: partial 16S ribosomal RNA
Rfam family: Bacterial small subunit ribosomal RNA
Source: RNAcentral